UUAAGCGACUAAGCGUACACGGUGGAUGCCCUGGCAGUCAGAGGCGAUGAAGGACGUGCUAAUCUGCGAUAAGCGUCGGUAAGGUGAUAUGAACCGUUAUAACCGGCGAUUUCCGAAUGGGGAAACCCAGUGUGUUUCGACACACUAUCAUUAACUGAAUCCAUAGGUUAAUGAGGCGAACCGGGGGAACUGAAACAUCUAAGUACCCCGAGGAAAAGAAAUCAACCGAGAUUCCCCCAGUAGCGGCGAGCGAACGGGGAGCAGCCCAGAGCCUGAAUCAGUGUGUGUGUUAGUGGAAGCGUCUGGAAAGGCGCGCGAUACAGGGUGACAGCCCCGUACACAAAAAUGCACAUGCUGUGAGCUCGAUGAGUAGGGCGGGACACGUGGUAUCCUGUCUGAAUAUGGGGGGACCAUCCUCCAAGGCUAAAUACUCCUGACUGACCGAUAGUGAACCAGUACCGUGAGGGAAAGGCGAAAAGAACCCCGGCGAGGGGAGUGAAAAAGAACCUGAAACCGUGUACGUACAAGCAGUGGGAGCACGCUUAGGCGUGUGACUGCGUACCUUUUGUAUAAUGGGUCAGCGACUUAUAUUCUGUAGCAAGGUUAACCGAAUAGGGGAGCCGAAGGGAAACCGAGUCUUAACUGGGCGUUAAGUUGCAGGGUAUAGACCCGAAACCCGGUGAUCUAGCCAUGGGCAGGUUGAAGGUUGGGUAACACUAACUGGAGGACCGAACCGACUAAUGUUGAAAAAUUAGCGGAUGACUUGUGGCUGGGGGUGAAAGGCCAAUCAAACCGGGAGAUAGCUGGUUCUCCCCGAAAGCUAUUUAGGUAGCGCCUCGUGAAUUCAUCUCCGGGGUAGAGCACUGUUUCGGCAAGGGGUCAUCCCGACUUACCAACCCGAUGCAAACUGCGAAUACCGGAGAAUGUUAUCACGGAGACACACGGCGGGUGCUAACGUCCGUCGUGAAGAGGGAAACAACCCAGACCGCCAGCUAAGGUCCCAAAGUCAUGGUUAAGGGAAACGAUGUGGGAAGGCCCAGACAGCCGUGAUGUUGGCUUAGAAGCAGCCAUCAUUUAGAAAGCGUAAUAGCUCACUGGUCGAGUCGGCCUGCGCGGAAGAUGUAACGGGGCUAAACCAUGCACCGAAGCUGCGGCAGCGACGCUUAUGCGUUGUUGGGUAGGGGAGCGUUCUGUAAGCCUGUGAAGGUGUGCUGUGAGGCAUGCUGGAGGUAUCAGAAGUGCGAAUGCUGACAUAAGUAACGAUAAAGCGGGUGAAAAGCCCGCUCGCCGGAAGACCAAGGGUUCCUGUCCAACGUUAAUCGGGGCAGGGUGAGUCGACCCCUAAGGCGAGGCCGAAAGGCGUAGUCGAUGGGAAACAGGUUAAUAUUCCUGUACUUGGUGUUACUGCGAAGGGGGGACGGAGAAGGCUAUGUUGGCCGGGCGACGGUUGUCCCGGUUUAAGCGUGUAGGCUGGUUUUCCAGGCAAAUCCGGAAAAUCAAGGCUGAGGCGUGAUGACGAGGCACUACGGUGCUGAAGCAACAAAUGCCCUGCUUCCAGGAAAAGCCUCUAAGCAUCAGGUAACAUCAAAUCGUACCCCAAACCGACACAGGUGGUCAGGUAGAGAAUACCAAGGCGCUUGAGAGAACUCGGGUGAAGGAACUAGGCAAAAUGGUGCCGUAACUUCGGGAGAAGGCACGCUGAUAUGUAGGUGAAGUCCCUCGCGGAUGGAGCUGAAAUCAGUCGAAGAUACCAGCUGGCUGCAACUGUUUAUUAAAAACACAGCACUGUGCAAACACGAAAGUGGACGUAUACGGUGUGACGCCUGCCCGGUGCCGGAAGGUUAAUUGAUGGGGUUAGCCGCAAGGCGAAGCUCUUGAUCGAAGCCCCGGUAAACGGCGGCCGUAACUAUAACGGUCCUAAGGUAGCGAAAUUCCUUGUCGGGUAAGUUCCGACCUGCACGAAUGGCGUAAUGAUGGCCAGGCUGUCUCCACCCGAGACUCAGUGAAAUUGAACUCGCUGUGAAGAUGCAGUGUACCCGCGGCAAGACGGAAAGACCCCGUGAACCUUUACUAUAGCUUGACACUGAACAUUGAGCCUUGAUGUGUAGGAUAGGUGGGAGGCUUAGAAGUGUGGACGCCAGUCUGCAUGGAGCCGACCUUGAAAUACCACCCUUUAAUGUUUGAUGUUCUAACGUUGACCCGUAAUCCGGGUUGCGGACAGUGUCUGGUGGGUAGUUUGACUGGGGCGGUCUCCUCCUAAAGAGUAACGGAGGAGCACGAAGGUUGGCUAAUCCUGGUCGGACAUCAGGAGGUUAGUGCAAUGGCAUAAGCCAGCUUGACUGCGAGCGUGACGGCGCGAGCAGGUGCGAAAGCAGGUCAUAGUGAUCCGGUGGUUCUGAAUGGAAGGGCCAUCGCUCAACGGAUAAAAGGUACUCCGGGGAUAACAGGCUGAUACCGCCCAAGAGUUCAUAUCGACGGCGGUGUUUGGCACCUCGAUGUCGGCUCAUCACAUCCUGGGGCUGAAGUAGGUCCCAAGGGUAUGGCUGUUCGCCAUUUAAAGUGGUACGCGAGCUGGGUUUAGAACGUCGUGAGACAGUUCGGUCCCUAUCUGCCGUGGGCGCUGGAGAACUGAGGGGGGCUGCUCCUAGUACGAGAGGACCGGAGUGGACGCAUCACUGGUGUUCGGGUUGUCAUGCCAAUGGCACUGCCCGGUAGCUAAAUGCGGAAGAGAUAAGUGCUGAAAGCAUCUAAGCACGAAACUUGCCCCGAGAUGAGUUCUCCCUGACUCCUUGAGAGUCCUGAAGGAACGUUGAAGACGACGACGUUGAUAGGCCGGGUGUGUAAGCGCAGCGAUGCGUUGAGCUAACCGGUACUAAUGAACCGUGAGGCUUAACCU
This 2896-nucleotide ribosomal RNA is filed under the name Escherichia coli. RNAcentral describes it as "23S ribosomal RNA". It matches the Rfam family "Bacterial large subunit ribosomal RNA". The record is from RNAcentral. Lineage: Bacteria; Pseudomonadati; Pseudomonadota; Gammaproteobacteria; Enterobacterales; Enterobacteriaceae.